CGCGCUCGCUUGCAGCCUUUUAGGACCCUGCGCCCCGGUGCCCCGCUGGCCGCCGCUGUCGCUCGGGGUUCCAGGCACCCUGGUCCGGGAAGCCCUCGAAGGAAGCCCAGGGCCAUGUCCGUCGUGGGAAGACACGAGGAAAAUAGCGCCUGGAACACACGGACCCAAGUGGUCCCAGCCCCUGUCGGGAGGCAAUUCUGCCGAAACUCGGGGGGCACUGGCCCAGGACCGGGCCCAGGGUGACAGGGGCCUGUCCCAGGCACGGAGCAGCUGGACUCGAGCCUGGCAGGCGUAGAGGCUGCUGGCAGAGCCGCGCCUUCGCAGGCCUGAGAGUACUGUCCCCGUCGGCGCGCUCGCUGGAGUAACGGUGGCACUGGCUGUUGCCCGGGGCGUCUCCGGAGCACGUAUUGGGAGAGUGCCCUGAAUUCCUGGGGCAGCCCCAAGGACAGAAAUCCAGCCCUUAGCUGCGUCCUACUUGGGGUAAGGACGACUAGACUUCAGGGUCUCCGGGCUCGUGGCGGCUCCAGCCCCUUUCAUUUGUGGGCCCCCGCACUCAGCCACUUCCGUGAGGACGCUCGCAGAAGCCGCUUCGGGGAGGAAUCAAGGGAAGGCCUGGGUCUUACGGCGCCAGGUUCACAUUGGGGAAGUAUUUUGAAGACAUAGAAGGUGACCAGAAAGACUAGAAAAGACUUUUGGCUGCCAAGGGGCAAAAAGAAAUGACCAUUCAGGUUUUUGCCAAAAACAUCCUGAGCUUCUGCAUUGUGCUGAUCAAUUGCCUUCUUACGAUCCAGUUUUGAAUGGAGACCAGAUACAUCUUUUGUAGUUUCUUCAACUGUGGUAAGCAACUACAUAUGAUUUUUUAAAAUAAAUGUUGAUUAAGAUGGGUAUCACAAAAGCAGACUAAUGAAAAUAUCUGUGCUACAUACGGGUUUCUCCUGACAAGAACUAGUAAAUUUUGAGGCGUGUGGGUGGCUCAGUCAGUUAAGCAUCCAACUCUUGACUUCAGCUCAGGUCAUGAUCCCAUGGUUAGUGGGAACGAGACCUGUGUCGGGCUCCACACUGACAGCAAAGAGCCUGCUUGGGAUUCUCUCUUUCUCUCUCUCUCUUUCUCUCUGCCCUUCCCCAGCUGGUACUCUCUCUCUCAAAAUAAAUAAACUUAAAAAAAAAAAAAAAAAGAACUCAGUAAGUUUUAGACAUUUGUAUCAGAAUUCAUUUUCAAUUCACACUAAUUUAUCCAGUUGCCCAAGAAUUUCCCCUCCCCUAGCAACCUAGGCAAGGAAAAGGGAUUUUGCCAACCUAAUACAGUAAUUAUGCUCCCUCACAAUUUUUUUUCUAUUAUGUGUUACUAUUUCCUCUAACGUGCACCUAAUAAAAAAUUAAAUACUUUCAACAUCUCCCAUCAUUA
This is a long non-coding RNA of Felis catus (domestic cat), 1405 nucleotides long. RefSeq lists it as uncharacterized. The transcript has 3 exons. The record is from RefSeq and is a predicted model, not a curated record. Lineage: Eukaryota; Metazoa; Chordata; Mammalia; Carnivora; Felidae.